UCACACUAUAAAUGAAUAAUUAUAAUUACUAUUAAAUUUAUAAGAAAUAAUCUCUCAAUUUGUCAUAGAAUUCUUGGCUCAUAUGAUUUGGUGUGGACAGACUCAAGCAUGGUAAAUAGAAAUAGCGCUCUCUUUUAAGGGAAGGAAACUUUCCUCUUUGGUUGUAGGGUGAGGAAAACCAGGGGGAGGGAAGGUUGUUGAGAUGUCUGUUGAAUAGGGCUUUGCUAGAUGGCCAAGCCUUUUGAAACUGCUUUCAUAUCUCUUAUUUUCUCCUCAGGUUAGUCCUGUGAAGUAGGCAGGGCAAGUAUUAUCCCUCUCUCGAGAUGGAAUUGAAGAAAUUGAGGUGCAGAGAGAUUGUGUAAUUGAGGUCAGCCAGCAAAUUCAUAGCAGAGUUGGGAUUACAAUCUUGGUCUCCUGAUACAAGUCCCAGGCUUUUUCCACUAGCAUCACUAGGGGUAGUACAUUAAAAUUCUCUGGUACUACCAUCUUGAAAAAAGCCACUAGACAAGACUGCUGUGAUGGCUCCCAACAUGGGAAGUGUCUGUUGCUGACAAAUCCAAGUUGAACUUCAGGUUGGAAGCAAGGGCCUACUUUCACCCUCAGUCCCUCUCCCCUAACCUGGAUUAACACUCAGCUCUAGAGCUCCCCCCUCUGCCAAGCACACAGGGUGUACAGAGAGAGACAGACAUUAUGUGAUGUUCAUCUCACCCUUUUCACUAACAGACCCAGUUGAAUAGGAACAUACCCAAUUCUUGGCAGAGGGAGAGUUUUGAUCCAGACUUAGAAAUGCAGGUGAGGUCUUCAGUGUCUGAGAACCCCAGCUUCUUAGUGUACCAAUACCUGAAAUAUCGCAGGGCAUGUGGCAAGAGCUGGCUGGCACUAACUCCACGUUGUUGUGCUAAGAGUUUGGAAUUUAAUUUGAAAAUAAAUAAGAAUAUUAGUUGACCAGAUUGCAUUUUGGAGUCUUUCCCUUCUUGGCUCACUAUUGUUCUUUUUCUUGAAGUCCCUUCUCUUCUCAUCUAAUUUUGAGACUCUGAAGGUGUAUGGGGAGAGGGUACCAGGUCCCAUGUACGCGCUGCCUGAUAGAACUUGAGCUCUGGGAACAGGGGGAUGGCUCUGCGAGUAAAUGGAGGGAUUUAAAGUCAAAUGAAUUUCCAUCUUUUACUCUAUAUUUUUAACUCCCUUUUGACCUACUGGAACAAGGAAAUGGAUCGGCAAAGGAUGAGUGAGACCUAUGGUGUCUGACUUGGUUCUCCCUCCCUUUCUCUCUCCGGGAGCCUUCCCCAAGGAGCCUUUUGCAGGCUGGAAUAACAUGCCUCUCUCUCAGCUCCACAUUCUCCUGCUAGCAGAUGUGAGGAAGUUCCUGCUUUGCAGAGGUAGCUCAGUAUGUGGUGGUCAGUGUCCUGUACUGGGUCACUUGCUGAGGAAGAGGAACGAGUCUCCAUAACCAGGAGCAGUAGUAGGCAGAUCCCAGGCUCUUUUCCUUUAGGCAUUACCUGUGCCAUUCAUCUAGAGCUAUGUGGGGAGGUAGAAUCACGGAAUCAUAGGAUUUAGAGCCAGAAGGGACGGUAAAGAUCAUCCCAGAUUGGUCAUUUUAGACCUUAGCCUACACAUUGAGUACUUAAAAAUCAUCCCAGAUUGGUCAUCUCAGACCUUAGUCUACACAUUAGUAUUUAAGGUUAGGUCCCUGCCUGUGGUGAGCCUGGCCCUACCCUUUUCCCCUUUUUUCCCCUCCCACCCCCCGGGAAUUUCAGCCUUUUUCUGCUAGACUUGCCCUGGGACUGGUUUGGAUACUGAAUUAUGAAAAGCCUGGGCGGGUCUGCAGGCUAGAGGGACGGAGGCGAGCUGGCAGCCCCAGAGCCAAGCACCCGGUGGCGUGUCGGGCCUGGCCAGCUCCCCAGCCCCACACAGAGGCGGCCUGGGAGCAUCAGUGUGCUCCUUCAGCCUUCCCCAGGGGAUGAGGCGGGAUUGCUGGCCGAGAAGUGUCCUGCUUGGCAGUUUCUUGUUGCUCCAGCUUAGCUGGCGGAAGAGCCGGGCUCCCCAACCUUUCCCAGGAGGGCAAAGGUUUCCCUUGAUAGAAGGAGGCUGGAGGGUUGGGGCAGCGGGAAGGUCCGAGCUGUUCCCAAGGCUGGAAGAUUGCCUUGCUUCCACCCAAGGCGUCGGAACUGCCCUCCCGCUCCUGCGCUCCCCGGCUCCCCCGCUCUCCCGCCCCCCACCUCCCAUCCUCCAUCCUUUCGUUCCCACUAGGGAUUUGCAGGGUCACUGAAACGGCUCCUCCUUCUCCCAUUUCCCUCUCCAAACCCAGUCCAAAGCAACGGCAAGGCUUCGCCUUCUGGGGCUUAUUUUAUUCUAAUUCUUUGUUUUUGGCAGCAAAACUCUUAACGGAAAGAGGGGGGUGGGGCCGGGGGAUGGCGCUCCUGCUUCAGCCCAGCUGUGGGGCUGUGGGAGAGCCGCCCGCAGGGGUCGGGGUCGGGAACUAGAGCUUCAGCCUGUGGAAAUCUGAAACUCGGAAAGAGUGAGGCAGAGAAUCUCCGUACUCCGCAGAGAAUCUCUUGGGGGGGCUACGUAGGCCCCUGUGGGUAUCAAAACCUCCCAGGGGAGAGGGGACAGACACCUGGUGAUUGUUGUAGACUGGGCGGCCCGUACCAUAGAGACUCCCCUGAGGCGAUCUCCAAGAGACUGUGGCGGGUGUAGCCUUCUGGGAGUAUACCCUUAUUAUUCCUGCAGAUUAUAUCACCAUUAGUGUAUAAUUAUUGUAUAAUGGGCGUUAUUACAUAAUGUCCGUUAUAUAACGCUCAGCCGGAGAUACAGACAGUAGGGAUAUUAUAUGUGUGUGUGUCUAUGUAUAGACACCUUCCUCACACUGGAUAUGUGGUCAUAUCAUAACCAUCAUGUAAAUACUUCCCUUAGCUGGGCUAUAAAUUUCCGAAGAGUGACGUCAACAGGCUCCUUACUGCGUUUGGAGGCGGAGGGGGGAAGGGAGGGUGAGAAUAUUUGGCCCCACCUAUCUCUUAUGACAUCAUGGUUUCCUUAGCAACCGUGUGCUCCCAAGGGGGACAAAGCGAAGAGAAGACUUUAGAAGAAGGGGGAUAUAGAUAAAAACCCAAAUGAGGAAAUGAUGAAGCCCCUACCCAAAUGUCUAUCCGUCCCAUGAGGAUGCUGAACUCAUCCCUACACAGGAUUUUUUCUAUUGCCAGAUCAUUCUUCCUUGGUAGAUACCCUUUGGCACAUAUUGGCAAGGACAGUCUUGUGCUCCGUUGGAAUUGUUUGCCGUUAAUCUGAAAAUGUUUCCUUCUCUUCAACCACACUCCAGUCUACUCCUUCCUGACAGUGGGAGUUUCACAGAGACCAGGAAACUGAGCCUGGAGAAAUUUGUCCAAGGACAUAAAGGUGCUACAUAAUUGGCAGAACCAAGGUUUGCACCCAGGUCCUUUGCCUGACUUCAGAUUCAGCUCUGCUCCCCAGGAGACUUUCUGCCUUUUCAUCUUCCAAGAAUAGGGUGCUGUUUCACCCAUCAAGAAGAAUGUCUCUUCACCAGCUCCACUGCUCAUCACCUAACUGCACAUAAGCUUCCAGGGUUGGAGGAAGCCCAGAGGAAGAGCAGCUUGUAGGCCACUGGAGUAAAGAACGUGGUCGCAAAUUCAUUGUCAUUAGUAAUGGAGUCUGCAGGGAACUCGUGGCUCAGUGGGCAUAGCCCUCACACUUCUGCCCUCAUCUUAAUCAGACUGAAGCAAAGAGAAAGUUCUGGGGCAGGAGGAGUGGGAGAAAGGCAGGAAGCAGCAGCGGGAGUGUGAGGCAGGAGAAGCUCUUGGGUCGGGACCCAGUCUCAUGAGGUGGGGCUAGGGCGGCACUGCCAGGUGUUUGGGGCUUUGCCCAACUCCUCACACCAGCCUUGCCAGAGUCCAGAGGACUGCAAGUGAGUCAGCCAGACUGCCUGCUGCCAGGUGUCCCAGAAGAAGGAGCACCCAGGCCAGGCUGGGUGCUCAGGUAGAGCCAGAAGCAAUGCCAGACCUGGGGGAGGAAGCAGAGUCCAUGUCUUUGCGCACAGGAGCCAGCCGGAUAUGAUUCUUGCUUUGGCUACUGGGGAAGCAGAGAGAGGAGGGUGCAGGUGCCCACUGCUCAGGUGCAGCUGCCUGGCCCAGCAAAUGGCAGAUACCUUUGUACCAUUAUUGAGGAGGGUCCCAGUAAGCUUUCCAUUGGAUGGGAGAGGGGUCGGUGGCUCUUGUACAUAUAUCCAGCUUUCCUUUACCUACCUCACAGAAUUGUCAGGUCCACCUUGCAAGCCUGAAAAUACUCUAUAACAUGAGCUAUAAAUGAAGUUCCUCUGCUUUAUUGAGGGCUGAAACUUCAGUGUGACUCGGGUUUCCUUUUCCAGUUCCUGAACUAGCUAGGGUAGUGCAUUGAGGUACUGGGGAGCUGGGAAGUCAGCCACAGGCAACUUUAUUAUUUUCAGACCACCAGCCAAGGUCUACAGAGAGAACAAGACAUUCAGAGGUAAUGGGGAAAGGGGUACAGACCUUUGGCCUCUGUUUUUAGGAAGUCCAUACAGCUUUAAAACUGUGGAGAAUGCAGGCAGAGAUGUAGGUCCAUGCAUCCCCUUCCCUCCCUUCUCCUCCCCUCCCUUUCCCUCAGUCAGGGCCUCUUCCCCACGUGGCUCAUUACAGCUCCAGUUGUUCAGGUCCUGACCCCAAGAUCCUUCCCUCUUGACCUCUGACCAGCAGAUACUAAUCUGUGUCAACAGGCCCCAUGGGUUAGAGAAACACAAACCCCAGCUCUGCCUUGGCAGGUGUGAAUGCUAGGUGGGGGAAGGGGAUCAGGAGGAGGGGAUCAAACACUUGCAAGGGGAAGAGAGUUGACUGUUGCCUGCCCAGCCUGUGGGGCUUGUGGGAAUAAUCGGGCAAAACAGGCUUUUCAGAUGAGCCCUUGGAAAGGAGAAUAACCCAGAUAGCUUCUCAGCAUAGUAGAUAGGUAAUUCAUUGACAAUUUCCCUUCCUAGUAUGGCAAAAGCCCUCCCUGCUUCUUUGAAAUUCUAUUGAAUUUUUCUUGGUCUCACUUUUAAGUUUUCUCUCAAUUUCUGCAAGUGUCUUUUAUUAUUUUCUUCCUCCUUACAUUUUUUUUUUUUUUUUUUUUGUCUUCCAUCUCUGUGGAAACUUGGGGCCCAGAUAUCCUUUCUGAUUGCUACUAGUAUUGAAGGAAGAGGGUUGGUGAGGCUUCCUUUUGCCUUUCCUAUAUCAGAAAUAGGUGAGACAAGAAACUUGACAGGUCAACUUUAAUUUCUUACUUGGCGGUCCUUUUGAGGUUCACCCCAGGAAAGGCCCUGCUCCUUUUCCUUACACAGAGCCUUCCAACUAGAUGGUGGCCAAGGUCCCUUUCAGAUCUAGAGUUAGGGGCAAUUCUCCAAGCUCCUCAGUGGUCUUCUGAAGGAUGAGUGGAUAUCAGCCGAGCAGGCUCAGGGCCACUAACCACUGACUGGAGCAGGGAACCUCUGGGACCAUUAGAGAAAGUGCUAACUCUCUUUUCAGAUGGCCUGGUAUGCUGAAAUCUUACAGAAAUAAGUAGUGUAACUUUAGUUGCUAACAAAGUAGGUUUCCCCUGCUAGUUCUCCUGGUAAGGGGUAUCUAUUGGCAACUAAAGAUUACUUCUCUCUCUGAGAGAGACCUUAGCAGGCUGAACCACAUUAAGCUGGGGUUGGGACUGGGUUAUUAGACUUCUGGGCCUGGUGAAGAAGUCCAGAUGGUGUCUAGACCAACUCUCUCUGCCUUCAGGCAGGGCAGUCCUUGGCCAUCCAAAGAAAGUGAUGGAUCCUUUAUUUCCCCUUCUUUUGGGAGUAGUAUUAUAUGUAUGUUGAGUUCAGAGUUGGAGCUAGGGGAAAGCCGCCCUUUCCCUUUCCCCAUUUGCCUAUCUUGCUGCCUUGUUCCUUCCCCAAAUAUAACUUGCCCAGUAAGUAGUAUUCCUUGCCCAUCCCUCGGGGAAAGCAGAGGCCCCCUCCAGAUCUGGAUACUUGUUUCUCUACACUUCAGAGCUGGGGCCCUGUUCUUUUCUCAUUCUACACCAGUUCCCCCCAGCAGGAGAACAAACUGUGAACAAAUUCAAAUUAGCCAUAGCAGAGGACCUGAGACCUCCAGGAAUAAAACUCAUGCUGGACACACUCUCUUGAGGCUAGUGAAAGGGGCAGUGAGAGAAGAGCUCCUCAGACCUUCUUCCUUCUCCCAGAGUUCUAUUCCCCCUCUGAGCCUGGAUGCCCCGAUCCUGGACGAUAAACUUGUCAGUCUCAUUUCCCCUACAUUCCCUGCCUCCUGCUCAGAGACUCUUGGCUAGUAGGAGGUCCAGAUCCACACCCUCUCUCCCAAUUCUAAGCUAUUUCUUACAAAGUCAGGGUCUUUCAUUCUCUAUCCCUAGGCUUUGGCUCUUGAGAUAAGCCUCCCCCUUCCACCCAGCAGCUGAGUGUGCCGUGUCCCGGCUAGCCCCAGGCCCUGCUUUUAGGCCUGCAUUUUGCCUGCUUGUCCACGUUAGAACCCAGCUUGUUCAGGGAGGCAUACAUCUGCUUGACAGUUUGUAUCCAUGGGCAAAAGAAGGCAGUACGGGGAGGGUUCUGGGCUGAAUGAAGCAGGGAAAAAGCAACCACAGGCAUGUGUGUGAUGGGUGGUUUUCAGUCCCGCUGUUGGCUGUGGUGGAGUUGGCAGGUUCCAGGGAAGGCUAUCUAGCUGGGCACCUUGGGAUACCUCCCUCCUAUUCUGGGUGCUUUGCUUCUCUCCUGACUCCCUCUUCUUCCCUCCCCUUCCUGGCUUUGGCUCUCUGGCAGGGCUGGGGAGCAACAAAGUUUCCAAACAUUUUUUUUCAUUUCCCAAACUUUUCCAGAUGCCAGGAAGAGGCCAGAGAGGCCCUGGGACUCUGUUGAGAAGGGGGAAGGGAAAUCCUUUCUAAGGCUUCUCUUUUUCCUUUUACAGGGAAGGAGAUACAACUGGGCACAUAGGGAGAACCAGGUGGUCAGGGAUUACCCCGGCUCCUCCGAUAGAGUUCAGUCCAGAGGUGACAAGGGUCACUUGGGACUGCCUGCUCAGUGCUCUGUCUCCCUAGUUUGGGGGGGGGGGGAGGGGGAAUAUAAAGGGAUGAUGUGUGUCUGCUGACCUACCCCAAUCCCUAUCACUCCCCCCUGGCAAAAGGGAGCUGGGAAAGGAUACUUUGAGUUACUUCUGGGCAACUGUGAACUACUUCAGUGUCACACUUAGCAAACCUUGCAUAUUACAUAGGGAAGAGGCUUCCUUUGUUAAAAAAAAAAAAAAAAAAAAAAAAAAAAAAAAAAAAAAAAAAAAAAAAAAAGGUUCAUUACUACAACAGAGCAGUUCAGCCUGAAGGAACAGAGUUUUGGGGAGGGGAGAGCUGAUAUCUCCUAUCCACCCAUUUCCACAAAACCUGCCUUUUAGAAGUGAAAGCAGCUUCUAGAGUGAAGGAAAGAAAGUUCAUUAUUUUGAUUAGGGAAAUUAGACAUGGGAGAAUAUAGUGGGAGAAAAGACAGACAUCCCCUAUCACACACACCCCCCAUAUACUAAGGGGGCACUUUUCCAUUUAGUUCCCGCCCCUCUCUCCAUACUCUGUCCCCCCAUCCCCGGACACACUACACAAACAAAGGGCUCUUUGUGGUCCUGGUCCACUGGCCAGCUGCCAGCCACAUUCUUCAAAUGUUUCUUACACUAGGAUCUCCUGCCGCCCAGCCUGACUCCUUUCAUGAGGCUUGGGCCUCUGGCCUGGUAGUCCCUAUGUCCCUCUGACAUGACAUCCACACAUUUUUCCUUCCUGUCACCCACCAAGAAUAUUCAGCUUUCGAAGAACCCCACAUGCUCUAGCUGUCCUCAGGGCUUUCUUUUGGGUGAUGAUGGAUUGAGGGGGCCCACAUAAGGGUCAGUGAGACUGACUUGGGGAGCUCAUAAAAUACCAUAACUGGAAUGGGUCAUUUUCCCAUUUCCUUCCCCAAAAGGGUUUUAUAUCCUUACUGAAAAACAUUUUCCAAGAAGGGCAAAAGGGUCCAAGACUUGGUUUUCUGGAAUGUGCAUUAUAAGAUUUAGAGUUGGGAAUGAUAAUAAAAUCAAUUAAAAUAAUAG
This is a long non-coding RNA of Sarcophilus harrisii (Tasmanian devil), 8099 nucleotides long. RefSeq lists it as uncharacterized. Lineage: Eukaryota; Metazoa; Chordata; Mammalia; Dasyuromorphia; Dasyuridae. The record is from RefSeq and is a predicted model, not a curated record. The transcript has 4 exons.